This 419-nucleotide ribosomal RNA is filed under the name uncultured organism. RNAcentral describes it as "bacterial SSU rRNA". It matches the Rfam family "Bacterial small subunit ribosomal RNA", at positions 346 to 755 of the family's 1533-position model. The record is from RNAcentral.
GUGCAGCAGUCGAGAAUUUUUCUCAAUGGGCGAAAGCCUGAAGGAGCGACGCCGCGUGGAGGAUGAAGGCUUUCGGGUUGUAAACUCCUGUCAUUUGAGAACAAGUGUAGCCGAAAUAACUACUGGCUACUUGAUAGUAUCAGAAGAGGAAGGGACGGCUAACUCUGUGCCAGCAGCCGCGGUAAUACAGAGGUCCCAAGCGUUGUUCGGAUUCAUUGGGCGUAAAGGGUGCGUAGGUGGCGCCGUCAGUGGGGUGUGAAAUUUCGGAGCGUUAACUCCGAAACUGCAUUCCAUACUGCGGUGCUUUGAGGACUGGAGAGGAGACUGGAAUUCAUGGUGUAGCAGUGAAAUGCGUAGAGAUCAUGAGGAAGACCAGUGGCGAAGGCGGGUCUCUGGACAGUUCCUGACACUGAGGCACG